This 301-nucleotide ribosomal RNA is filed under the name uncultured bacterium. RNAcentral's name for it is "partial 16S ribosomal RNA". It matches the Rfam family "Bacterial small subunit ribosomal RNA", at positions 509 to 807 of the family's 1533-position model. The record is from RNAcentral.
CAGUCGCCGCGGGAAUACGAAGGGGGCUAGCGUUGCUCGGAAUCACUGGGCGUAAAGGGUGCGUAGGCGGGUUUUUAAGUCAGAGGUGAAAUCCUGGAGCUCAACUCCAGAACUGCCUUUGAUACUGAAAGUCUUGAGUAUGGGAGAGGUGAGUGGAACUGCGAGUGUAGAGGUGAAAUUCGUAGAUAUUCGCAAGAACACCAGUGGCGAAGGCGGCUCACUGGCCCAUAACUGACGCUGAGGCACGAAAGCGUGGGGAGCAAACAGGAUUAGAUACCCCUGUAGUCCCUGUCUCUUAUAC